UUGCCAGCACGUAAAUGGUGGGAACUCUAGGGGAGACUGCCGGUGACAAACCGGGAGGAAGGUGGGGAUGACGUCAAGUUCAUCAUGGCCCUUACGGCCAGGGCUACACACGUACUACAAUGGUCGGGACAGAGGGCAGCGAGACCGCGAGGGUGGAGCCAAUCCCAAGAAACCCGAUCCCAGUCCGGAUUGCAGUCUGCAACUCGACUGCAUGAAGUCGGAAUCGCUAGUAAUCGCAGAUCAGCAUUGCUGCGGUGAAUACGUUCCCGGGCCUUGUACACACCGCCCGUCACACCAUGGGAGUUGGUUGCUCCAGAAGCAGGUAGUCUAACCGCAAGGGGGACGCUUGCCACGGAGUGGUCAAUGACUGGGGUGA
RNAcentral lists this ribosomal RNA (376 nucleotides) under uncultured bacterium. Its description in RNAcentral is "bacterial SSU rRNA". It matches the Rfam family "Bacterial small subunit ribosomal RNA", at positions 1115 to 1483 of the family's 1533-position model. The record is from RNAcentral.